Molecule: transfer-messenger RNA, 390 nt
Filed under: Candidatus Wolfebacteria bacterium
Lineage: Bacteria; Candidatus Wolfeibacteriota
Rfam family: transfer-messenger RNA
About the family: Bacterial tmRNA, also known as 10Sa RNA or SsrA, is named for its dual tRNA and mRNA-like properties. Its role is to liberate the mRNA from a stalled ribosome.
Source: RNAcentral
GGGGAUGAUCGGCUUCGACAACUGAUCCACUCUUUCAUGUGCAUAUCGAGUAUGAAUGUAAUCUCGCAAAACUUCAUUCACAAGAUUAAGUGCAAACUCAAUCUUUUCAGCAAAGUCACCAUACUUUAGUAUGAAUGAACUUGCUCCAGCAUACGCUUAAGCGAUAGUUGGUGUCUUAUCUGAGGAGUCCUGAUAGUUAGAUAAGGCAUAAUAUCAUCAGGAUAGAUUUUGAAACAUUUCUCGCUUCAAUUUCAAACCAAUUGAGAAUCGAUGUAUAUAUAUUUUGUCUUCUUCUUAGUAUAUAUAUUUAAAUCACAAAAGAAGACUAUAUAUGUAGAAGCAUUUACGAGCAUCUUUUGCACGGCGGUUCAAUUCCGCCCAUCUCCACAA